This 291-nucleotide ribosomal RNA is filed under the name Ornithodoros coriaceus. RNAcentral's name for it is "partial 16S ribosomal RNA". Lineage: Eukaryota; Metazoa; Arthropoda; Arachnida; Ixodida; Argasidae. The record is from RNAcentral.
UAAUCCUAUAACAUAAUCUAGGUCGCAAACUCUUUAUUAUCUAUAUAUUUACUAUCCAAAAUAAUUACGCUGUUAUCCCUAGAGUAUUUUUAUCAAAAAAAUCACUACUAGAUGGAACUUUUUACUAAAAAAUUUUAAAGAUUAAUAAUCUUUAAAAAUCACCCCAAUCAACUAAAAAAAUAAAUUUCUAAUAAUCUUAAAAAUAAUUAAAAAUUUCCUUUUGAAAAAAAAUUCAUAGGGGAGAAGUCUUCUUGUCUCCCAAAGUCCUACUUGAUCUGAGUUCAGACCGGG